RNAcentral lists this ribosomal RNA (223 nucleotides) under uncultured bacterium. Its description in RNAcentral is "partial 16S ribosomal RNA". It matches the Rfam family "Bacterial small subunit ribosomal RNA", at positions 524 to 746 of the family's 1533-position model. The record is from RNAcentral.
UACGAGAGGCCCAAACGUUAUUCGGAAUUACUGGGCUUAAAGAGUUCGUAGGCGGCGCAGAAAGUAGGGUGUGAAAGCCCUCGGCUCAACCGAGGAAUUGCGCUCUAAACUACUGUGCUCGAGGAAUCUAGAGGUGAGCGGAACUGAUGGUGGAGCGGUGAAAUGCGUUGAUAUCAUCAGGAACACCGGAGGCGAAGGCGGCUCACUGGGGAUUUUCUGACGC